GUGAGGAAUAUUGCGCAAUGGAGGCAACUCUGACGCAGCCAUGCCGCGUGCAGGAAGAAGGCGCUACGCGUUGUAAACUGCUUUUAACCGGGAAGAAACCCCAGGACGUGUCCUGGGUUGACGGUACCGGAGGAAUAAGCACCGGCUAACUUCGUGCCAGCAGCCGCGGUAAUACGAAGGGUGCAAGCGUUAUCCGGCUUCAUUGGGUUUAAAGGGUGCGUAGGCGGAGCGUUAAGUCAGUGGUGAAAUCCUGCAGCUUAACUGUAGACUUGCCAUUGAUACUGGCGCGCUUGAGUGCGCUUGAAGUGGGCGGAAUGUGCCGUGUAGCGGUGAAAUGCUUAGAUAUGGCACAGAACACCAAUUGCGAAGGCAGCUCACUAAGGCGAUACUGACGCUGAGGCACGAAAGCGUGGGGAUCGAACAGGAUUAGAUACCCGGGUAGUCC
This 445-nucleotide ribosomal RNA is filed under the name uncultured bacterium. Its description in RNAcentral is "partial 16S ribosomal RNA". It matches the Rfam family "Bacterial small subunit ribosomal RNA", at positions 354 to 796 of the family's 1533-position model. The record is from RNAcentral.